UGAGUGUGUGUGCAUGAGACAUUCCCUUUCUCUCAGUCCUUAACCUUUCAGUGCUGAGUGUUACAGCUCUGGUUACACAGCAGAGGCAGCAGAGCCUGUGUGCACUGGGGAGGUGCUGUCUCCCCCCUUCCCUAUAAUUAAUCAGCUAGAAAGCCCCCAUGGUUUCCUUUCCCUGCUUGGCAGAGUUAAAAGUGAUGCUGUGAAGCGGAGCCCCAGUUAGAAUCAAGUAGAAAUGCAGUUGGAGGAGGUGUAUAACAGAUUCUGUGGGGGAAACUGUGACAGCGGCAGCAAAAAGAGGCGCUGACCAGCGUACCGGUGAUUGAGCCUCUCUCCCUGCCAGUGCCACCACUUCCAGUCGCCCGGUGUCUUUUGUGAGCAUCUAAAAAAACUAUGACCACAAUUCACAAAGGAAUGAAGUUUGCAGUGUGUGGAACCACAUCUAAAUGGGACUUGAUAAGAAAGCCAGCUAAGGUCAGGCAAGCAGAAAAUCCCUGAAGGACUGCAUGACAGUGUGAAUGCUCACAUAAUGCAGGAAGAUGGCUGAGGAUGGUCCUGGAUACUGACGGAUGAAUAAAUUCACCAGGGGAGAAGUUGCAUCGAAUAAUCUGCCGUAAAAUUUUAGGCAUGCGCAUAAAAAUAGUCGCGCGUCAAAAUUAUUCAGACGCCCAUUGACUUUAAUGUAUUUGGACAAAAUAGGCACGCAUAUAAAAAUUGUCAUGGGCGUCAAAAUUGAAACGCGUCAAAGUUAUUUUGGUGGCCAUUGACUUCAAUGCGUUUCACAAACUUUUCGCAGUUUCUCAAAUUUGUCUGUAAAUUCGCAAAUUUUUCAGCAAAGUGAAACAGGACAAAUUCACCCACCACUAGUUCUGAAGAGAAAAGCACAACAUAAAUUCACAAACCCUAUCAUAUGUGCCUGAAUGUUAGCGAAUUAAUCAGAAAGUAAAGAAUCUUUAUACCAACUUUAAAAGCUAUUGCAGUGCUUUUUCUUUUUUUUUUGUAACUUAUAUUUCAUUGAAAAGAUUGACAUCCCCAUACAAUAAACAGCAAGUUGGGUACAAAGCUAGCACCCUCAAGUUUCAUACAAAUCCGAACCCCAGCCUACUGUCUAAAAUAGAUAACAGAAAGUCACAGUGCGAUCUAGUUACUAUAGAUGAGAUGAGAACGAUUCCCAUUUCCUUUUUUUUUCUUGCAGUGCUUUUCAAGCCAAAAAUGCUGCAAAAUGUUUAUUCUUUGGCAGAGCCUUUUAUACACAAAUCUUUGGCUGUGAUGUGGUUAAAAAAUAUGAAGCCCUUCAUUCUUAAAAAAACAACACAAC
Xenopus laevis (African clawed frog) is the source of this 1315-nucleotide long non-coding RNA. RefSeq lists it as uncharacterized. The record is from RefSeq and is a predicted model, not a curated record. The transcript has 3 exons. NCBI's taxonomy places the organism in Eukaryota, Metazoa, Chordata, Amphibia, Anura, Pipidae.